This is a long non-coding RNA of Pristis pectinata (smalltooth sawfish), 608 nucleotides long. RefSeq lists it as uncharacterized. The transcript is spliced from 3 exons. The record is from RefSeq and is a predicted model, not a curated record. Lineage: Eukaryota; Metazoa; Chordata; Chondrichthyes; Rhinopristiformes; Pristidae.
UCCCCCCAGCACUGCUCCCUGCGCGGAGGAAUUGCAGAACUGGUGUGCUGAGGCCGGCGAUCUCCGCCUAGGACUUCCCCUGCCUGUGACUCACACACAGGCGGAGAGCUGAGUCUCCCGACCACAGCCCUCCCUCCGGACACAGCCGGCACCAUUCGUCAGGACAGUCGAGCUCACCAUGUCGACCACCAGAGUACGAGAAGUCUGCUGCCUCUCCUUGUUCAUCUUCUCCUCCCUUCUGGACUCCACCUUCCCUGUGUCUGACCCCGGCCGUGUGUGACGGGAUGGUGUGGAGGGAGCUUCGCCCUGCGUCUGACCCCGGCCGUGUGUGACGGGACGGUGUGGAGGGAGCUUCGCCCUGUGUCUAACCCCGGGAGUGUGUGAUGGGACGGUGCGGAGGGAGCUUCGCCCUGUGUCUCACCCCGGGAGUGUGUGAUGGGACGGUGUGGAGGGAGCCUCACCCUGUGUCUGACCCCGGGAGUGUGUGACGGGACGGUGCGGAGGGAGCCUCACCCCAUGUCUGACCCCGGGAUUGUGUGAUGGGACGGUGCGGCGGGAGCUUCACUCUGUGUCUAUCCUGUACCCUGAACCGUGAGUGGACAAAAUGG